Molecule: ribosomal RNA, 654 nt
Filed under: Glenoleon pulchellus
Lineage: Eukaryota; Metazoa; Arthropoda; Insecta; Neuroptera; Myrmeleontidae
Description: 12S ribosomal RNA
Source: RNAcentral
AAGUUAUUUAGAUUUGGUAAAAGUUUAAGUUCAGAAUAAACUUGUGCCAGCAUUCGCGGUUAUACAAGUUGGACAGGUAAAAGUUUUUAGUUGAUAGUUAAUUUUUUUUUGUUGAAAUUAAUAAUUUAAUUUAUAGGUGAAAUUUUAAAUUUUUACUAAAUUUUUAUUAUUUGAAUGAAGCUAUGAAAUUUAUUUAAUUAAAACUAGGAUUAGAUACCCUACUAUGAAGGAUGUAAAUAUAAACUUGGGUAGUAAUAGAUAUGAUCUUGAAACCUAAAAAAUUUGGCGGUGCUUUAGUCUAUUUAGAGGAACCUGUUCCGUAAUCGAUAGUCCACGAUAAAUUUCACUUAAUUUUGUUUAGCUUAUAUACCGUUGUUAUCAGAAUAUUUUAUAAGAAUUUAAUGUUCUAAUAUUUAUAUAAAAAUAUAUUUCAGAUCAAGGUGUAGUUUAUAAUUAAGAGGAAAUGGGUUACAAUAAAUUUAUUUAAACGGAUAUGAAACUGAAAUGUUUUAUUGAAGGUGGAUUUAAUAGUAAAUUAAGAUAUAUUUUUUAUUUGAUUAAAGCUCUAAAGCAUGCACACAUCGCCCGUCGCUCUUUUUAAUUAAAGAUAAGUCGUAACAGAGUAGGUGUACUGGAAAGUGUAUCUAGAAUGCA